GAAGCGGUGCCUGAGCGGUCAAAAGGGCCUCACUGCUAACGAGGUGGCUUUUAGCCGCGUGAGUUCAAACCUCACUCGCUUCG
This is a non-coding RNA of Mycoplasmataceae bacterium RC_NB112A, 83 nucleotides long. Lineage: Bacteria; Bacillati; Mycoplasmatota; Mollicutes; Mycoplasmatales; Mycoplasmataceae. The record is from Rfam.